AAUCUGGCCCCCGGGUCCGAGUUGUAAUUUGUAGAGGAUGCUUUUGGUGCGGUACCUUCCGAGUUCCCUGGAACGGGACGCCAUAGAGGGUGAGAGCCCCGUCUGGUUCGACGCCAAUCCUUUGUAAAGCUCCUUCAACGAGUCGAGUAGUUUGGGAAUGCUGCUCUAAAUGGGAGGUAUAUGUCUUCUAAAGCUAAAUAUUGGCCAGAGACCGAUAGCGCACAAGUAGAGUGAUCGAAAGAUGAAAAGCACUUUGAAAAGAGAGUUAAAAAGUACGUGAAAUUGUUGAAAGGGAAGCGCUCAUGACCAGACUUGGGCUCGGUUGAUCAUCCAGGGUUCUCCCUGGUGCACUCUCCCGGCCCAGGCCAGCAUCAGUUCGCCGCGGGGGACAAAGGCGUCGGGAAUGUGGCUCCCUCGGGAGUGUUAUAGCCCGUCGUGCAAUACCCUGUGGUGGACUGAGGUUCGCGCAUUCGCAAGGAUGCUGGCGUAAUGGUCAUCAGCGACCCGUCUUGAAACACGGACCAAGGAGUCGUCUUCGUAUGCGAGUGUUCGGGUGUCAAACCCCUACGCGUAAUGAAAGUGAACGCAGGUGAGAGCU
RNAcentral lists this ribosomal RNA (598 nucleotides) under Neonectria neomacrospora. RNAcentral describes it as "partial large subunit ribosomal RNA". It matches the Rfam family "Eukaryotic large subunit ribosomal RNA", at positions 119 to 743 of the family's 3401-position model. Lineage: Eukaryota; Fungi; Ascomycota; Sordariomycetes; Hypocreales; Nectriaceae. The record is from RNAcentral.